UGGGGAAUUUUCCGCAAUGGGCGAAAGCCUGACGGAGCAAUACCGCGUGAGGGAGGAAGGCUUUUGGGUUGUAAACCUCUUUUGAUUGGGAAGAAGAACUGACGGUACCAAUCGAAUCAGCAUCGGCUAACUCCGUGCCAGCAGCCGCGGUAAUACGGAGGAUGCAAGCGUUAUCCGGAUUUAUUGGGCGUAAAGCGUCCGCAGGUGGCUUAUCAAGUCUGCUGUCAAAGCGCGGAGCUUAACUCCGUACAGGCGGUGGAAACUGGUAGGCUAGAGUCUGGUAGGGGUUGCGGGAAUUCCCAGUGUAGCGGUGAAAUGCGUAGAUAUUGGGAAGAACACCGGCGGCGAAAGCGCGCAACUGGACCGGAACUGACACUCAUGGACGAAAGCUAGGGGAGCGAAUGGGAUUAGAUAC
Molecule: ribosomal RNA, 415 nt
Filed under: Phormidium sp. PD48-2
Lineage: Bacteria; Bacillati; Cyanobacteriota; Cyanophyceae; Oscillatoriales; Oscillatoriaceae
Description: bacterial SSU rRNA
Rfam family: Bacterial small subunit ribosomal RNA
Source: RNAcentral